RNAcentral lists this ribosomal RNA (406 nucleotides) under uncultured bacterium. RNAcentral's name for it is "partial 16S ribosomal RNA". It matches the Rfam family "Bacterial small subunit ribosomal RNA", at positions 30 to 526 of the family's 1533-position model. The record is from RNAcentral.
AUUGAACGCUGGCGGCAGGCUUAACACAUGCAAGUCGAGCGAGCGGCGGACGGGUGAGCAAUGUCUGGACACCUGCCUGACGGAGGGGGAUAACUACUGGAACCGGUAGCUAAUACCGCAUACCAUCAGAUGUGCCCAGAGGGGAUUAGCUAGUAGGUGUGGUAAGGGCUCAUCUAGGCGACGAUCCCUAGCGGGUCUGAGAGGAUGACCAGCCACACUGGAACUGAGACACGGUCCAGACUCCUACGGGAGGCAGCAGUGGGGAAUAUUGCACAAUGGCCGCAAGCCUGAUGCAGCCAUGCCGCGUGUGUGAAGAAGGCCUUCGGGUUGUAAAGCACUUUCGGCGGGGAGGCGUUACUCGCAGAAGAAGCACCGGCUAACUCCGUGCCAGCAGCCGCGGUAAUAC